AGAUGUGAGGGUGAUCUGACUGCGAUGACUGUCACCCCACUGAUCACCAGGGUUGAUUCGGCUGAUCUGGCUGGUUAGGCGGUGUCCCCUUCCUCCCUCACCGCUCCAUGUGCGUCCCUCCCGAAGCUGCAUGCCCUACUGAAGAGGACCAUGACCUUCCCUGAUAGGAGGGCUGUCCUUCGGUCAAGGGUAUACGAGGAGCUGCACUCUCAGUUAGAACCUCCAAACAAGUAUCAAAAACACUAAAGGCAACAAAACCUAAAAAGUAUAUAAAGGUGGCUUUAAGAAAUAAAGCUGGUUAAGAUGUCGUCUUU
Molecule: small nuclear RNA, 314 nt
Filed under: Echinops telfairi (small Madagascar hedgehog)
Lineage: Eukaryota; Metazoa; Chordata; Mammalia; Afrosoricida; Tenrecidae
Description: 7SK RNA (ENSETEG00000024650.1)
Rfam family: 7SK RNA
About the family: 7SK was discovered as an abundant small nuclear RNA in the mid-70s but a possible function has only recently been suggested.
Source: RNAcentral